GAUUGCACUAAUCCUCUCGCAAUCGCGGCUG
The submitters of this non-coding RNA (31 nucleotides) gave its source as unclassified sequences. The record is from Rfam.